This 484-nucleotide ribosomal RNA is filed under the name uncultured bacterium. RNAcentral describes it as "bacterial SSU rRNA". It matches the Rfam family "Bacterial small subunit ribosomal RNA", at positions 30 to 510 of the family's 1533-position model. The record is from RNAcentral.
AUUGAACGCUGGCGGCAGGCCUAACACAUGCAAGUCGAGCGAGAAAGGUCUUCGGACUGAGUACAGCGGCGGACGGGUGAGUAAUGCGCAGGAAUCUACCUGGUAGUGGGGGAUAACUCGGGGAAACUCGAACUAAUACCGCAUACGCCCUACGGGGGAAAGCGGGGGACCUUCGGGCCUCGCGCUAUCAGAUGAGCCUGCGUAGGAUUAGCUUGUUGGUGAGGUAAAGGCUCACCAAGGCGACGAUCCUUAGCUGGUCUGAGAGGAUGAUCAGCCACACUGGAACUGAGACACGGUCCAGACUCCUACGGGAGCAGCAGUGGGGAAUAUUGCGCAAUGGGCGAAAGCCUGACGCAGCCAUGCCGCGUGUGUGAAGAAGGCCCUUGGGUUGUAAAGCACUUUCAAUUGGGAAGAAAGGUUGCGUGUUAAUAGCACGUAGUCNGUGACGUUACCUUUAGAAGAAGCACCGGCUAACUCCGUGCCA